GGCGCACGGGUGAGUAACACGUGGGAACGUGCCCAACGGUUUGGAAUAACUCAGGGAAACUUGAGCUAAUACCGAAUACGCCCUCAGGGGGAAAGAUUUAUCGCCGAUGGAGCGGCCCGCGUCCGAUUAGCUUGUUGGUGAGGUAAAAGCUUACCAAGGCAACGAUCGGUAGCUGGUUUGAGAGAACGAUCAGCCACACUGGGACUGAGACACGGCCCAGACUCCUACGGGAGGCAGCAGUGGGGAAUCUUGGACAAUGGGCGAAAGCCUGAUCCAGCCAUGCCGCGUGAGUGAUGAAGGCCCUAGGGUUGUAAAACUCUUUCGGCGGGGACGAUAAUGACGGUACCCGCAGAAGAAGCUCCGGCUAACUUCGUGCCAGCAGCCGCGGUAAUACGAAGGGGGCUAGCGUUGUUCGGUAUUACUGGGCGUAAAGCGCGCGCAGGCGGUUUGCCAAGUCAGAGGUGAAAGCCCCGAGCUCAACUCGGGAACUGCCUUUGAGACUGGUAGACUAGGGUACGGGAGAGGUGAGUGGAAUUCC
This 538-nucleotide ribosomal RNA is filed under the name uncultured Alphaproteobacteria bacterium. RNAcentral's name for it is "bacterial SSU rRNA". It matches the Rfam family "Bacterial small subunit ribosomal RNA", at positions 97 to 670 of the family's 1533-position model. Lineage: Bacteria; Pseudomonadati; Pseudomonadota; Alphaproteobacteria. The record is from RNAcentral.